UCGAUUCUUCAUCACAUUCUAACUGACUCACUGAUGUCACAUGGGCUACUUUGAUGAUGUUUUUAUUACCUUUCUGGACAUGGACAGUAAACCGUAUGUAGAUUUUCAAUGAAGGGUCAACAAGCUCUCGGACUAAAUCUAAAACAUCUUAAACUGUGUUUUGAAGAUGAACGGAGGUCUUACGAGUUUGGAACGACAUGAGGGUGAGUCAUUAAUGACAUUAUUUUUGGGUGAACUAUCCCUUUAACCGAUUGUUGGGUCAAAUAUAAACAUUUUCUGGGUUUAUUUAACCCAAAGGCUUGGCUCGACUCUUUUUGACCCAAUGCUGGGUUGAAAAUAACCCAGAAAUGUUUUUAGACUGUAUGAAAUUGAGACAACCUUGUUUUUAAUAUCAUAAGCGAUAGAGGAACUUUAUCUUUCCAAUUGCAGUUACUUGUACAGGUAAAAAGAGACUUUUGUUUUUAAGUCAUUACGUAAGGAAAACUGUUUUUGGGUCCAAGCCUCCACUCAUUUCAAUAGAGGAUAUCAUUUAAGCAGCCGUUUAUGAGCACUAUUUAUUCAUAUCACACAUUUAAAGGCGGGGUGCACAAUGUUUAAAAGCCAAUGUUGAUAUUUGAAAUCACCUAAACAAAAACGCCCUACGCCAAUAGAAUCUGGACCUUCUUUUUAUAGACCCGCCCCCCACAUACGCAACCCAGGCAACGAUGUCGGUUAGUAGACAUGUGUGCCCCUUACUGCUGAUUGGCUACAAGUGUGCUUUGCUACUUGGCCCGACUUUCCAAAGCAUUUCUCAAAAAUAGUGCACCCCGCCUUUAAUGGUACAUUCACACGGGACAGAAGCGUUAACGCUUGACGGAAGGCUUGUCUGAAGCGUGGCCAACAGCCAAUCACAGUGGCCGCUACACAUGCUCCGGUCUUCCUUAAACGUAAUUGGCUGGCUCUGCCUAGGUUAUUUGCAUAAGACGAUCUGAUUGGCUGACACACGUAUUGCCGCUUGAAAAGUUGAGAAAUGUUCAACUUUGCUGCGAGCAACGGCAGUGACGCGGCGCCGACAGAUCCACAAUUCAGUUCGGGCAGCAUGACGUCACCCAUUAAAAGUGAAUGGGAAGCGUCAACGCUUGCGCCCCGUGUGAAUGUACCGUAAGCGAACAUUGAUAAACUCACAGUGUACACUGCAGUCUCCAAGCUCACAGAAUCACAACAGCAAUAUAUUAAUAAUUCGUAAAAACUCCAAAAGCGUUGGGUAAAGAAGGGACGAAUUUAACCUAUGCUGGUUUGUUUUAACCCAUUGUUGGGUCAAAUGCAAAAAAAUUGGUUAAUUAAACCCAACGGCUUGGUUAGUCUAUUUUUGACCCAAUGCUAAAGUUUUUAGCUGUACUUUUAGCAGUAGUUACAGUCAGCUUUUCAUAAUAAUAUAUUAUGUACGCUGUAAAAAAAUGUAUCCAGAUCUUUACACUCUAAAAAAGGUUGAGUUAAAAAGGGACAAGCCCAGCUGUUGGGUUAAAUUAAAUCUGAAAAUCUUUAUAUUUAACCCAACAAUGGGUUAACCCCUAAAAUUCCAGUUUACUGUGGGAGGGACACUGCAUUCUUUGACUGAAAAUUUUUUAUCAAAUACAACAACUCUAGCUAAACAUGUCACAUAUCUUUGGAAAGCUGAAAAUCUUGCUGUAAACCGUUUUAAGAUACAAUCAACACAGCAGGUAAAAUAUGUGUCCUUUUUACGCCUUUUUUAGCCUUUUUCAGAAAUUCUAAGUGAUAAAAAGAAAACAACCCAGCAUUUUGAGUUGAAACAGGUUAAAUUACAACCCAAAGGCCUGGGCUCGUCCUUUUUUGACCCAACGCUGGGUUGAAAACCCAGCCGUUCCUCUUAAGUGUACAGAAAUAGAAAAUGAUAACUGUAAUGCUGAACUGAGAUCAGACAACAUGAUCAGACGAUAUAGACAUGUCUAUAUCACAUUUCACAGUAGAAAGUUCCCCUUUUGCAUUUAAAAGUCUUUUGCAAUACCCAUUAUUUCGAUUUGCAUUUUUGUUUCAUAGUAAAUUUCUACUGUAUUAUAGUAAAAAUGCUGUAAUUUAAUGAGCAAUUGUUUAUAUUUAAAUCAGCAUAAAAAACAAUAAUGUAAAAUGAGAAUUUGCAGAUGUCCCAAUGCAAAUAAUCCAAAUGGUCCAGAAAACAGGGUUUAUUUACUGUACUUCAAGCAAAAUAUAAUUGCUAGUAUCUUUCCUUUGACUUUGAGGACCACACUGUAUGUGUCAAAAGACACCUGCCAUACCAACUAAUGUAAUCACAAAAGCUUUGAAAACAAACGCACACCCCCUUAAUGCAUUAGAUCAAAUGUAUUUCUGGUGUAAAAAAAUGACGUUGGCUACCUACCUACAUAAGUUGCAUUGAGAGGUUUAUUGCGCAGUAUAGUUUCUUUUAAUUAUUUUUUUUUACUGAUUUUGUACGCUUAUCUAUGCUAUCAUGUUUGAGGAACUGAAAUGUGGAUGUGUCUGAGUGGUGCGGCGACACCAUUACUGUGAACUAUUUAUGAAAAUGAAACCUUUCUGAGUGUUAGUGUAUGUGCGCUUUAAUGUCAAACACAUGAGCAGGCUCAUAAUACACAUCUUCACCUCUACACAGCAAUACACUGUAUGUAAAUACUGUACUGUAUGUCGGUCAUAUAACAGGGUUGCUGAAGUUCAUGGUACUUAAUAGUCAAUUCUUAACCUGAAACAUUUCCACCGUACAAGGCUGCCUGCGAGUUUGCAUGGAUGAUUUUGGAUUGAAUGCUGUUAUUUUAAAGAUAUUUUCCCUGUGGGGCUAAAACUGAUAUGGACGAAACCCAAUGAAUUGUAAAAUAAACUGCAACUAUGUCCUUCUUGGAAGGAAAUGCACACAGUGACAAAGAUUUUGCAUCGGAUGCCAUGUUUAAAUCGGAGAUUAGAGAUGAAAUGUUGGUUGCCUGCAUUGUUUUAUCAUCAUCAUCAAGUGCCUUACGCAGAAUCACUACAGGCAUUGAUUUUCACUUGAUACAUGGGCACAUUACAUAGCUGGCAGCAUGUUUUGUGUUGUUUUAUUAGCACAUAUACUUACUGUAGAUCAGGUGUAUGCAACGUCGAUCCUGGAUGUCCUGCAGAUUUUAGCUCCAAUUUUAGGACAUCGGCACUCCAGGAUCGAAGUUGGUUACCCCUGCUGUAGAUCAUUGGUGUUUGGCAUAUUCGCUUUGCCUUUUAAAGCACUACAAACUCAGAGAUGUUGGAGUUGCCAUGACUGUUUAGGUUUUCCAAAGGAGUGAAGAAGGAUUUUAUGCUAAUUGAUGACCAAAGUUGUCUAUUUACCCGGAAGCGAUUUUCAUGAUGUCACACUGGAUGUUUGUUGUAAAUCAUCCAUCGAUAGACUUGUCGAGUUGUAAUAGAGCCUCAUUUUGGUGAAUAAGCAAUGCUGUUUAACUGCAAUGAUCACGAAUUAGCAGUGGUCCCUCUCUCUCUCCAUCUUUUGUCACCUUUGUAAUCGCUUUCAAGUAUGCAGUAUAAUUUGUUCGAUGUACUGCAGAUUUGCUGUAGUUUCAAUGCAUAUUGCACUUUGUACAUUCUGUUGAAAUGAUGUACUGUAUGUGUUUAUUAUGAAAAUAAACUUUUACAUAUGA
Misgurnus anguillicaudatus (oriental weatherfish) is the source of this 3629-nucleotide non-coding RNA. NCBI's taxonomy places the organism in Eukaryota, Metazoa, Chordata, Actinopteri, Cypriniformes, Cobitidae. The record is from RefSeq and is a predicted model, not a curated record.